This 83-nucleotide transfer RNA is filed under the name Arthrobacter phage Atuin. RNAcentral describes it as "tRNA-Ser". It matches the Rfam family "tRNA". From Rfam's summary of the family: Transfer RNA (tRNA) molecules are approximately 80 nucleotides in length. Their secondary structure includes four short double-helical elements and three loops (D, anti-codon, and T loops). The record is from RNAcentral. Lineage: Duplodnaviria; Heunggongvirae; Uroviricota; Caudoviricetes.
UGGAGAGGCCAGCGGUCAUGGAAUCUCGCUUGGAAAGCGAGAAGGUGUAAAAGCCUCGGGAGUUCGAAUCUCCUCCUCUCCGC